This 253-nucleotide ribosomal RNA is filed under the name uncultured bacterium. RNAcentral's name for it is "partial 16S ribosomal RNA". It matches the Rfam family "Bacterial small subunit ribosomal RNA", at positions 524 to 776 of the family's 1533-position model. The record is from RNAcentral.
UACGUAGGGGGCAAGCGUUGUCCGGAAUUAUUGGGCGUAAAGAGCGUGUAGGCGGUCCGGUAAGUCGGCUGUGAAAGUCCAGGGCUCAACCCUGGGAUGCCGGUCGAUACUGCCGGACUAGAGUUCGGAAGAGGCGAGUGGAAUUCCCGGUGUAGCGGUGAAAUGUGCAGAUAUCGGGAGGAACACCUAUGGCGAAGGCAGCUCGCUGGGACGUUACUGACGCUGAGACGCGAAAGCGUGGGGAGCAAACAGG